GACGAACGCUGGCGGCGUGCUUAACACAUGCAAGUCGAACGGAAAGGCCCUGCUUUUGUGGGGUGCUCGAGUGGCGAACGGGUGAGUAACACGUGAGUAACCUGCCCUUGACUUUGGGAUAACUUCAGGAAACUGGGGCUAAUACCGGAUAGGAGCUCCUGCUGCAUGGUGGGGGUUGGAAGGUUUCGGCGGUUGGGGAUGGACUCGCGGCUUAUCAGCUUGUUGGUGGGGUAGUGGCUUACCAAGGCUUUGACGGGUAGCCGGCCUGAGAGGGUGACCGGCAACAUUGGGACUGAGAUACGGCCCAGACUCCUACGGGAGGCAGCAGUGGGGAAUAUUGCACAAUGGGCGGAAGCCUGAUGCAGCAACGCCGCGUGCGGGAUGACGGCCUUCGGGGCGUAAACCGCUUUCGCCUGUGACGAAGCGUGAGUGACGGUAAUGGGUAAAGAAGCACCGGCUAACUACGUG
This 468-nucleotide ribosomal RNA is filed under the name uncultured bacterium. Its description in RNAcentral is "partial 16S ribosomal RNA". It matches the Rfam family "Bacterial small subunit ribosomal RNA", at positions 28 to 507 of the family's 1533-position model. The record is from RNAcentral.